GAUGAACGCUGGCGGCGUGCCUAAUACAUGCCAGUCGGGCGAACAGACGAGGAGCUUGCUCCUCUGACGUUAGCGGCGGACGGGUGAGUAACACGUGGAUAACCUACCUAUAAGACUGGGAUAACUUCGGGAAACCGGAGCUAAUACCGGAUAAUAUAUUGAACCGCAUGGUUCAAUAGUGAAAGACGGUUUUGCUGUCACUUAUAGAUGGAUCCGUGCCGCAUUAGCUAGUUGGUAAGGUAACGGCUUACCAAGGCAACGAUGCGUAGCCGACCUGAGAGGGUGAUCGGCCACACUGGAACUGAGACACGGUCCAGACUCCUACGGGAGGCAGCAGUAGGGAAUCUUCCGCAAUGGGCGAAAGCCUGGCGGAGCAACGCCGCGUGAGUGAUGAAGGUCUUCGGAUCGUAAAACUCUGUUAUUAGGGAAGAACAAAUGUGCAAGUAACUAUGCACGUCUUGACGGUACCUAAUCAGAAAGCCACGGCUAACUACGUG
RNAcentral lists this ribosomal RNA (497 nucleotides) under uncultured bacterium. RNAcentral's name for it is "partial 16S ribosomal RNA". It matches the Rfam family "Bacterial small subunit ribosomal RNA", at positions 28 to 507 of the family's 1533-position model. The record is from RNAcentral.